AAAGGAUAUGGACCAAUUUGCUCCCACUGACUUCACCAAGUCAAGUCCUCCCACUGACUUCUCAAGUCAUUAACAAGGACUAGGAUCAAAUUUGGUCCAUGGGCACUUAGAUCAGUCUCACUGAAUGAAAUCACUCACUGAUUUCCUAUAUGACAUGGGUUAGCAUGAAUCAAUGAGCAACCUAAUCAAGACCUGAUUAACCACAUUGGUCAGGUAAGUAUGAUCGAUGGGAGGGUCUGCCAAAGCUUGCCUUAGACACCAUAAGAAAUGGCC
This 273-nucleotide long non-coding RNA is filed under the name Elaeis guineensis (African oil palm). Its description in RNAcentral is "long non-coding RNA (EGUI_LNC071813)". The record is from RNAcentral. Lineage: Eukaryota; Viridiplantae; Streptophyta; Magnoliopsida; Arecales; Arecaceae.